This 478-nucleotide ribosomal RNA is filed under the name uncultured bacterium. Its description in RNAcentral is "partial 16S ribosomal RNA". It matches the Rfam family "Bacterial small subunit ribosomal RNA", at positions 28 to 523 of the family's 1533-position model. The record is from RNAcentral.
GACGAACGCUGGCGGCGUGCUUAACACAUGCAAGUCGAACGGUAAGGCCCUUCGGGGUACACGAGUGGCGAACGGGUGAGUAACACGUGGGUGAUCUGCCCUGCACUUCGGGAUAAGCCUGGGAAACUGGGUCUAAUACCGGAUAGGACCACUGCCUGCAUGGGUGGUGGUGGGAAGCUUGUGCGGUGUGGGAUGGGCCCGCGGCCUAUCAGCUUGUUGGUGGGGUGAUGGCCUACCAAGGCGACGACGGGUAGCCGGCCUGAGAGGGUGACCGGCCACACUGGGACUGAGAUACGGCCCAGACUCCUACGGGAGGCAGCAGUGGGGAAUAUUGCACAAUGGGCGCAAGCCUGAUGCAGCGACGCCGCGUGAGGGAUGACGGCCUUCGGGUUGUAAACCUCUUUCAGCACCGACGAAGCGCAAGUGACGGUAGGUGCAGAAGAAGGACCGGCCAACUACGUGCCAGCAGCCGCCGCAG